RNAcentral lists this ribosomal RNA (484 nucleotides) under uncultured Flavobacteriaceae bacterium. RNAcentral describes it as "bacterial SSU rRNA". It matches the Rfam family "Bacterial small subunit ribosomal RNA", at positions 28 to 505 of the family's 1533-position model. Lineage: Bacteria; Pseudomonadati; Bacteroidota; Flavobacteriia; Flavobacteriales; Flavobacteriaceae. The record is from RNAcentral.
GAUGAACGCUAGCGGCAGGCUUAACACAUGCAAGUCGAGGGGUAACAGUAAGUGCUUGCACUUAGCUGACGACCGGCGCACGGGUGCGUAACGCGUAUAGAACCUACCUUUAACUAAGGCAUAGCCCGAAGAAAUUUGGAUUAAUACCUUAUAGUAUUUUUGAUUCGCAUGGAUUAGAAAUUAAAGAUUUAUCGGUUAAAGAUGGCUAUGCGUCUUAUUAGCUAGUUGGUGAGGUAAGAGCUCACCAAGGCUACGAUAAGUAGGGGUCCUGAGAGGGAGAUCCCCCACACUGGUACUGAGACACGGACCAGACUCCUACGGGAGGCAGCAGUGAGGAAUAUUGGACAAUGGAGGCAACUCUGAUCCAGCCAUGCCGCGUGUAGGAAGACUGCCUUAUGGGUUGUAAACUACUUUUGUAUAGGAAGAAACAGAGUUACGUGUAGCUCUUUGACGGUACUAUAAGAAUAAGGAUCGGCUAACUCCG